AAAUAAUCGUGAACAUGCCGCUGCACACUGGGUUAUCGCACGUAUCUCGGGCGACGUGAUGGUUACACAUCCUACGGCGACUACAGUCUGUCACCUGUUCGGUCCGUGUCUGUGCGUUAAUCAAACACAGCGCAAUCCAUUUGUAAGCAGCUACUGUCGUUACACUAACACACACACACACACUUACACACACACACACACAUAUGACAGCGCAUCACGAGCAGCAGCAGCUCGAACGUGACAUAUGGCGAUGUACUUUUAUGCCAGUAAGAUAUCUGACGCAGCCCGCGGCACGCGUUGCCAGCAAUCCGUGCUGCAAAAGUCGCGCGGUCAACGGGAUCGUGGCAGGCACAUAUACAUACAUAUAUGUACGUAUAUCGGCAGCAUACGCCUUGCCAUCUGUGCCAGUUAGACAGCAGUGCGGCCGGAGCUAAAAAGCCAGCUAAAACUGCUGACUUGAACAUUUUCACGCCUAGCGACGACAGCUGGAACAUUCCAUAAGCCAAAGUAUUGAAUUGGGUUGAAAAGUGGAGCAGCUGAAUGAACACGAAUUGAAAUCAGAGCUACAGCAGUGCACGGGAAUAGAGCAGCGCAGCAGGGCGGUAAAGCUGCGCAGAGGCGUGUGUUGGCAUUAUCUGCUGCCUUGUUGACAACUGCGAUUGGCCAGCAAGAGGUCGAUAUUGAA
Molecule: long non-coding RNA, 685 nt
Organism: Drosophila navojoa
Lineage: Eukaryota; Metazoa; Arthropoda; Insecta; Diptera; Drosophilidae
Source: RefSeq, a predicted model, not a curated record